Non-coding RNA from Paramuricea clavata, 517 nucleotides. The record is from the annotation of a GenBank genome assembly. Lineage: Eukaryota; Metazoa; Cnidaria; Anthozoa; Malacalcyonacea; Plexauridae.
GUCCUAUGUUAACAUACUAUGAAUUGUUUAGUUAAUUGUGAUGCACAACAGCCUGUUGAAUUUCCAUAGCGUUUCUGAGUUCCACGGCUGCUUUUAAUUAACCGUAGCCGAGCUAUGACGAUGACGUGGAACUUGUUUUCCGUAUAGUGCUGACUACGGACAAGAUUUUCAUCGAAUUUUUAGCCAGUAAGUUGAGAACUUGUAAGAAAAAAAAAGAAAAAAGACAAGAAAGAAAAAAGACAAGAAAAACAAGAAAGAUGAUGACAUUGAAGAUGUUUUGAUGUUGCCUGACUCUUCAGGUUUUGUACAUCGCCAAGAAAUGCGACUCCUAACUUAUACUACAAGGACAAAAAACCCUGUUUUCAUAUAGUUGUGUUGUUCUAUCUAUAAAGUGCUCCGAGUGCAGAAGACGACGGCGUGUCGGCAUGUGCAAACUUUUACCAUGUCCAUGUGCAAAUUUUUUGGCAUGUACCAAAACCCGAAACAACCGGAACGAAACCCCCGGAACGAAACCAGC